RNAcentral lists this transfer RNA (70 nucleotides) under Ictidomys tridecemlineatus (thirteen-lined ground squirrel). RNAcentral describes it as "Spermophilus tridecemlineatus (thirteen-lined ground squirrel) tRNA". It matches the Rfam family "tRNA". From Rfam's summary of the family: Transfer RNA (tRNA) molecules are approximately 80 nucleotides in length. The record is from Rfam by way of RNAcentral. Lineage: Eukaryota; Metazoa; Chordata; Mammalia; Rodentia; Sciuridae.
GGGGUUGUGGCUCAGUGGCAGAGUACUUGCCUCGCACGCAUGAGGCCCUGGGUUCAAAGCCUCAACACCA